GAUCCCGGAUGAGAGUUUGGUGCGGGAUGAAGCUGAGGGCCGUUGGAUUUAAUCCAAUGGCCAGGAAAAGAGAAGCCAAUAAAGUCUAGGGAAAUUACACUUUACCCCUCAACCCUCACACUUGCCCCCUUUUGUUUUCAUUCCACGCAAACCAGAGAGGGAGACAGAGAGAGAGAGACGAAUGAAGACGAACAAAGAACGAAGAGGAGAAGAAGAUCAAAGACGAACGACGAAGAUUGAAGCCAGCAUCCAUCGAGUGAAGAGAAAUAUCAUAAAAAGUUCAGUACCCAUUGUCUCUGUUGAACCCCCGGACUGUCCUGUGGAUGGUAGUGGGUGAUUCCUCUCACUGGAGGUGGGGAUCGUAAAUAAGAACUUAUGAAUUUUGAGUCUUGACGCAUCUAUGUCGACAUACGGAAUGGUAAUCUAUGAUUUGAUGCUUUUAAUUUUCAUACAUGGUGUCAUAGGCAGACUAGUCACUAGUGGGAUGCUUGAGCUUGGCUUCAUUAUGUAUUGCACUUGAUCUUGGUUUGAGUUUGGCCAAUCUUUUCUAAGCUUAGUUUUCAAAUGCAAGUUGCUGUUCUGGACUCGAUAGCGACGUCAUCUGUGAGCUUUUCUUUUAUCCUCUUGUUUGCCAAUUUGGCUUUUGUAUUAUCAAGAAUUGUGAUGCAAAUCUGCAAAAGGUGCUACAGAGACAUAGUUGGGACUUAAAAUAUGACCACCAUUGACACUUUGCUUCUCCUAAUUGUUGUCAUGAGUCAUGAAUUAGACUUGUUUUUCCUUUUGUCAUUGCUUUCCCAUGUUCUCUCGGAAGCCAACAUGGUUUGAAAGAACCACUGAAAGUUAGGGCAAAGACUUGUGGUAAGCGUUUGAAAGGAGAAAAAGAGAAGACCGUCAAGAAAAGUAGGAAAUGUCAUGGGUGUGGGUUAUUGGGGCAGUCGCAUGACAAAAAAAAAUUGUCCGAAACUUAUGAACAUGUAAGUGUACUUGUGUAUUUGUAAUUUGAACUUAUGUAAGUGUACAAACAAGUCACCAUCUGUUCUUUGACUGUGUGUAUGUUUCCCAGGUGUGUAAAAAGAUAAAAGUCAUUUUGAGGCCUUGGCUUGCCUUCUUGGGACGUUGUAUCUGAGAUUCAAUGGGGCAGUCAGCACUGUAAGGGGAAAUUAUUGAAAUUUUCUGUCUAUAAACUGUUUAUGCAUUGCUGCCACUGUUUAUGCAGUUUGGAAAAAGAGAAAUAGUCGUAUAUUUAGACAACAUGGUAUGGACCACUCUACUCUGGUGAAAUGUAUUUGGGAUGAGAUCAAGGCUGGGGUGAGUUCAUGGAGAAAUGUGCAUGUAUCUGCUGGGAACCAAGACUGCUGUGUGGCUUUGGGGCUCAAUCCUGCUAUAUUUGCUAAGGCUAGUUGUGCUUAGCUUAGUUGGUCAUGGAGUUGUGUCUUCCUUUUUGCUAUUUUGACUUCCAUAGUCUAUGUGGAAUUUUUUGUAUUUGGAGAAAUAUAUUUGGAAAUUUUUGUAUUUGGAGAAAUGUAUUCAGAUAGUCUGCUCUGGAGAAAUGUAUUUGGAAUUUUUUGUUUUC
Molecule: long non-coding RNA, 1573 nt
Organism: Rhododendron vialii
Lineage: Eukaryota; Viridiplantae; Streptophyta; Magnoliopsida; Ericales; Ericaceae
Exons: 2
Source: RefSeq, a predicted model, not a curated record